This 458-nucleotide ribosomal RNA is filed under the name uncultured bacterium. RNAcentral's name for it is "bacterial SSU rRNA". It matches the Rfam family "Bacterial small subunit ribosomal RNA", at positions 15 to 518 of the family's 1533-position model. The record is from RNAcentral.
GAUUCUGGCUCAGAACGAACGCUGGCGGCAGGCCUAACACAUGCAAGUCGAGCGCGCCCUUCGGGGUGAGCGGCGGACGGGUUAGUAACGCGUGGGAACGUACCCUUUGGUAGGGAAUAGCCACUGGAAACGGUGAGUAAUACCCUAUGAGCCCUUCGGGGGAAAGAUUUAUCGCCAAAGGAUCGGCCCGCGUUAGAUUAGGUAGUUGGUGGGGUAAUGGCCUACCAAGCCUACGAUCUAUAGCUGGUUUUAGAGGAUGAUCAGCAACACUGGGACUGAGACACGGCCCAGACUCCUACGGGAGGCAGCAGUGGGGAAUCUUGGACAAUGGGGGCAACCCUGAAUCCAGCCAUGCCGCGUGAGUGAAGAAGGCCUUAGGGUCGUAAAGCUCUUUCGCCUAUGAAGAUAAUGACGGUAGCAGGUAAAGAAACCCCGGCUAACUCCGUGCCAGCCGCUGC